GGGCCCGCACAAGCGGUGGAGCAUGUGGUUUAAUUCGAUGAUACGCGAGGAACCUUACCAGGGCUUAAAUGUAAGUUGCAUUAGUUAGAGAUAGCUAUUUCUUCGGACUACUUACAAGGUGCUGCAUGGUUGUCGUCAGCUCGUGCCGUGAGGUGUCAGGUUAAGUCCUAUAACGAGCGCAACCCCUGUUGUUAGUUGCCAUCGAGUCAUGUCGGGAACUCUAGCGAAACUGCCGGUGCAAACCGUGAGGAAGGUGGGGAUGACGUCAAAUCAUCACGGCCCUUACGUCCUGGCUACACACGUGCUACAAUGGUCGGUACAGAGAGCAGCCACUACGCGAGUAGGAGCG
This 349-nucleotide ribosomal RNA is filed under the name uncultured bacterium. RNAcentral's name for it is "bacterial SSU rRNA". It matches the Rfam family "Bacterial small subunit ribosomal RNA", at positions 917 to 1269 of the family's 1533-position model. The record is from RNAcentral.